This 609-nucleotide ribosomal RNA is filed under the name uncultured Sebacinaceae. Its description in RNAcentral is "eukaryotic LSU rRNA". The stretch from base 218 to 370 matches the Rfam family "5.8S ribosomal RNA". The record is from RNAcentral. Lineage: Eukaryota; Fungi; Basidiomycota; Agaricomycetes; Sebacinales; Sebacinaceae.
AAGUCGUAACUAAGGUUUCCGUAGUGAACCUGCGGAAGGAUCAUUAGUGAUUAGAAACGUUGUCUUCUGUGCUGGCUGCGGCAAGUGCACGUUGAUAACUUUCAUCCAAACCCCCUUGUGAACCUUUGGCCUCUUGCUAGCUUCGGCUGGCUGAGGAUUUUACACAAACUCGCAUGUAUUGAAGUCCCUUUACUUAUGUGCACAAGCACUACUAUACAACUUUCAACAACGGAUCCCUUGGCUCUCGCAUCGAUGAAGAACGCAGCGAAAUGCGAUAAGUAAUGUGAAUUGCAGAAUUCAGUGAAUCAUCGAAUCUUUGAACGCACCUUGCACCCUUUGGCAUUCCGAAGGUAUGCUCGUUUGAGUGUCAUUGUACUCUCACACUCCCAAACAUUUGGAUUGGGAGCGGUGGACUUGGGUGCUGCUGCUUGACUGUGGCUCACCUGAAAUAUGUUAGUGCACCUCCUGAUUGGACAUAGUACGGCGUGAUAAGUGUCUUCGCUGGCUCCUCACAAGAGGGUGGCUGAUCAGGAGCUCUGUUGCUUCAACCGUCUUCGGACAAUUUCUGACACUUGACCUCAAAUCGAGUAAGACUCCCCGCUGAACUAA